This 271-nucleotide unclassified non-coding RNA is filed under the name uncultured Rickettsia sp. Lineage: Bacteria; Pseudomonadati; Pseudomonadota; Alphaproteobacteria; Rickettsiales; Rickettsiaceae. The record is from RNAcentral.
UUACAUAUGCAUAUAGUGUUAAUUCUAUAAAAAUGUAGUAUCAACUCACAAAGUUAUCAGGUUAAAUUAGCUUUAUCAAUGAAUAAAAAUGUUGUUGCAUGACCAAUGUCAUACCGUGGUCAAGCCACGGUAUCCAGUAAAAAUUAUUUUGCUGAGUAUCGUAGUAAAAGUUAAGAUAUGAUGUUAAGACUUUUUUUGAGUCGUGCAAUAACAUUAACAGCAAACUAUAAUACAAGUCUAUCUUUUUAAAAGUUUGUAUUGCUAGCUUGGU